Molecule: unclassified non-coding RNA, 2855 nt
Filed under: Amphibalanus amphitrite
Lineage: Eukaryota; Metazoa; Arthropoda; Thecostraca; Balanomorpha; Balanidae
Description: lysosomal alpha-mannosidase-like, transcript variant X1
Source: RNAcentral
UCCUGAACUGGUUGACCGACUCAUCAGGGACAUCUACUGUGAUGAUUUAAUCACUAGCGUUGCUUCAGACGAAGAAGCACGCUGUGUGAAGGAAAGGACAGUCCAAAUAUUCAGUGAAGCUCAGAUGAAUAUGACAAAAUGGACUACCAGCUUCCAGCCAACUGACCCCCAGGAGCUAGCCAACUGCUCAAACAGCGAACGAAAGGUGCUCGGAGUGAGCUGGGCCCCAACCACAGAUCAUCUAGUGGUUGAAACUGAUCAGCUGGCUCAACUUGGAAGUUGUCUGCCAGAGACAAAGAGGAGCAUCCUGAAGAUUACGGCGAGAUUCUAUGACCCACUGGGACUCCUGAAUCCUGUGUCGGUGCGGGCUAAGAUGAUGCUCAAAGCACUCUGGAAGGAGGGCAAGGGAUGGGAUGAAGCUCUUCCUAGUGCCGUCCAGUGCCAGUGGAGAAAGUGGCUCCGUGAACUCCGCACUUUGGGAAAGUUUUUCAUUCCUAGAAACUGUGCGCUGGCCGAGAGACCGUACCAGAUUCACGUAUUCUGUGAUGCAAGUAAAGAAGCCUAUGCAGCCGUCCUCUACAUCAGAAGUGAGCAUUCGGAGCAGUGUGCAAGUACCUACUUGCUCAUCAGCAAGUCACGUCUUUCGCCGAGUCAAGAAAUCACCAUUCCAAGGCUCGAGCUUACGGCAGCUCUGAUCGGCGCACGGCUUCUAGCCUACGUGAAGAAACAGCUAACUGUGCCACCCCAGAAAAGCUUCCUAUGGACAGACUCCAUGGUGGCUCUCAGCUGGAUCAAUAGCGACGCGGAUAGAUGGGGCGUGUACGUGAGGAAUCGCGUGCAGGAGCUACAAGAGCUGACCGCCGCAGAGGAAUGGGGACACUGCCCCGGAAACGAGAACCCGGCGGACCUGCCCUCCCGAGGUACGUCAGCGGACCGCCUGAACGGUGACCUCUGGUUGCACGGACCAGAGUGGCUCAGACAGCACGAGUCACAAUGGCCCCAGAAAAGGGAUUCUGAGCCCGAACCAUCACAGUGUCAGCUGGAAGAAAGGAAGCAAGCUCUGGUGGUACUUAGUGACAGUUCUGGAACGCAGCAGCUCUUUGAUCCGGUCGGCUACGGCUCCUUGAAACGUUUACUCAACGUGACAGCUUGGGUACUGAGAUGGGUACACAACUGCAGACAAGACGGCAGACAAGACAGGAAAACGGGACCACUGGUGGCCGAAGAGGUAGAAGGCGCGUUGGAAUACUGGAUCAAAGCUGCGCAAUCAAAGUUCCAUGAAGACGUGUCAGCGCUGAGAAAGGGACAGCCGCUGUCUCCAAAGUCGCGCCUGCAUAGUCUUGGUGCCAGACUAGAGAACGGUAUACUGAAGAAAGAGGGUCGUCUCCAAGAGGCCCUUCUGAAUGAUGAAGAGAAGCACCCCAUCAUUCUGCCGUCGGAUCACCGACUAGUACAGCUACUCGUUGAAGACACUCAUCUGCGGCUGUGCCAUGCCGGCGUGCAGCAGGUGUUGAGUGCGCUCAGGGACAGAUAUUGGAUUCUGCGAGGCCGCCAGGUGGUCCGGUCAGUGUUACGAAGCUGUCAAAGGUGCCUGAUUUUCCGUGCACAACCUCUUGGUCAAGUGGUAGCACCUCUACCAAGCACCAGGACUCGCCCCUCACAACCCUUUAGUCACAUCGGUGUGGACCUUGGAGGACCACUGCUGGUCCGUGGGGGAGCAGGUCAUCAAGCUUCAAGGCUGUAUUUUGUGGUAUUCACGUGUGCGGUUACGCGCGCGCUCCAUCUAGAGCUAGUUUCGUCACAGGGGACCGAGGACUUCAUCCAAGCUUACCGCAGAUUUGCAGCCCGCAGAGGAAAGCCCAGAAGUGUGUUGAGCGACAACGCAAAAAACUUCAAGGGAGCGGCUAAGGUUUUAGCGACUGAGGGCGUGAGCUGGCACUUCAUUGUUGAGCGAGCCCCCUGGUGGGGGGGCUUUUGGGAGCGGUUGGUUGGACUAACCAAGGCUGCCCUCCGCAGAACACUUGGCAGUGCCCUUCUCGGUAGGGAAGAGCUCGAGACAGUUCUCUGCCAGAUCGAGAGCGCUAUCAACCGGCGCCCUCUGACAGCCGUCACUGACGACCCGAGUGACCAGCAGCCGCUCAGACCUGCCGACUUCCUAAGGUGUCCACUGGGAGGAGCAGAGGAAGAGGAGGACGAUCUCCGAGGCCGGCGGCGUUACCAGACUAGAGUUGCGGUGCACCUUUGGAGACGCUGGCAGAGAGAAUACCUGAGAAAUCUGAGAGAUUUCCAACACAGACAGCUGAUCCGAGAAGCAGCUAUCGGUGACUUAGUACUCGUCGAGGGAGAGCAGUCCAACCGGUUAACAUGGAAGACCGGUGUCAUCACAGCGCUACACACUGGCCGAGAUGGACGAGUGCGAUCGGCGACACUGCGCACCACAGAUGGUGACCGACGGCGGCCAGUACAAAGACUUUAUUUACUUGAGGGUAGCAGAUGCUGAGCGUGCCGCCGGUCACGUGGGGGAGGGUGUUGUGAAUUAUCUGCGCGGAGGCGCUGGCAAUGGUCGACGCGUGAGAAAUUUGAAAUGAUUGAAUUGCGUGAGGUGAAAAAUGUCUAGAAAAAGGGGAGAUACUGAUGCGAUGGCUUGAUUUGAAUGAAGCGAUUGAUUAAGUUUUGCUUUAACGUAAAAGGCCUAGAACGAUGAAUUAGAAAUGAUCAACGCGAUCAUGAAAUCACGACAAAUCUCCACCGUCGCACCGUGCAGGACGACGGGUUCGGCGUGGGGGAGCCCCUGAACGAGACGGCGUAUGGUGCCGGUCUGGUGGUGCGCGGUCGGCACUGGGUGCUGCUCUCCG